ACUCAUACCUUGCAGGGGAAAUACCAUGGUCAUGAAAGUGGUUUUCCCAGGGUGAGGCUCAUCCAUUGCACUUCAGGUGUGCUGAUCCCUGUGAUUUCCCCAAAUGUGGGGAACUCAACUGCAUAAUUUGUGGUAGUGGGGCAUUGCAUUUGUGCUUUCCCUGG
RNAcentral lists this small nuclear RNA (164 nucleotides) under Pogona vitticeps (central bearded dragon). RNAcentral describes it as "U1 spliceosomal RNA (ENSPVIG00000018757.1)". It matches the Rfam family "U1 spliceosomal RNA". From Rfam's summary of the family: U1 is a small nuclear RNA (snRNA) component of the spliceosome (involved in pre-mRNA splicing). Its 5' end forms complementary base pairs with the 5' splice junction, thus defining the 5' donor site of an intron. The record is from Rfam by way of RNAcentral. Lineage: Eukaryota; Metazoa; Chordata; Lepidosauria; Squamata; Agamidae.